Molecule: transfer RNA, 74 nt
Filed under: Apaloderma vittatum (bar-tailed trogon)
Lineage: Eukaryota; Metazoa; Chordata; Aves; Trogoniformes; Trogonidae
Rfam family: tRNA
About the family: Transfer RNA (tRNA) molecules are approximately 80 nucleotides in length.
Source: Rfam by way of RNAcentral
GGCCGAUUAGCUCCUUCGGUUCGAGCGUAGUGCUAAUAACGUCAAGGUUGUGGGUUCAAUCCCCACACGGGCCA